GCCGAUGUAGCUCAGCUGGCAGAGCAACGCAUUCGUAAUGCGUGGGUCGGGGGUUCGAAUCCCUCCAUCGGCACCA
This 76-nucleotide transfer RNA is filed under the name Gammaproteobacteria bacterium. RNAcentral's name for it is "tRNA-Thr". It matches the Rfam family "tRNA". Rfam says of the family: Transfer RNA (tRNA) molecules are approximately 80 nucleotides in length. Their secondary structure includes four short double-helical elements and three loops (D, anti-codon, and T loops). Lineage: Bacteria; Pseudomonadati; Pseudomonadota; Gammaproteobacteria. The record is from RNAcentral.